Homo sapiens (human) is the source of this 1530-nucleotide long non-coding RNA. Ensembl annotates it as epigenetically induced MYC interacting lncRNA 1. Its record names the gene EPIC1. Lineage: Eukaryota; Metazoa; Chordata; Mammalia; Primates; Hominidae. The record is from Ensembl.
GAGGCCCACCCACCUUGGGGAGGGGCCAGCUGCUGUGUUCAGUCCGCCAUUGCAAACACGAAGCUCUUCCAGAAACGCCCUCACAGACACCCCGGAAGUCACGUACCCACUCUGUAGGUGCCCCGGGGCACAGGCAAGCGGACGAGCCAGUUAUCCCUCAGAGCUCCUGCUGCCUCGCCCGCUUUCUCUCGGAAACGUGAAGUGUGGGCCUCAUUCAAUCAGUUGAAUUCUUCAAGAGAGAAAAACUGAAGUCCCUUAGAAGGAAAGAGUUCUGCCUUCAGACUGUCUUUGAACUUAAGACUGUAGCGUCGACUCCUGCCGGAAUUUCCAGCCUGCUGGCCAGCUCUGCAGAUUCACACUUGCCAGCCUCCACAAUCGCAGCUGAGGCGGAGGAACCCUAAGGGCUCAUUGAGAUCAUGGAUUUGCCCUUCUAUGCAUUGAUGGAGCACCUGCUGCCCACAGCGUCUGUAUUUGGUGCUGGGAUGCUGAGCCUCCUUCUUUAUGAAUUUUUAAAAGGACACUGAGAUCUUCAAACAGAGGCUGCCACUCUAAGCAAACAGAUCCCGAGCCCUGGACUCUGAAGCUUGGGCCCAGUUCUCCUUUUCUCCGGGUUUCAGAUCCCACUGUGAAGUGAGGGGGCCCUUCUGAUUCAGGACCCGGGGAAGCCAGGGGCAUGAGCAUCGGUGCCUCUUCUCUAUUUCAAGGACCCUUCUGGGUGUAAAGUUCUCUGAGAUGCCUUACAUGGAUUCCCACCACUGCAAGAUAACCAUCGUAUGUAAAGUGUUAUGACCAGCAGAGCGUAAUUGAAGUGCAUUCCAGAGGGAAAGACAGCGGCUCAGGAACCUGCUUACCUCAGAGCCUGCUGCGGACUGAGUUGUCUUCUCCAAAAUCCAUUUGUGGAGGCCCUCAUCCCCAGUGGGAGAGUAUUUGGAGAUGAAGCAUUUGGAGGUGAUUAAGCUUAGAUGAGCUCAGAGUGGAGCCUCAGGAUGGCAUCGAUGCCCUGGUAAAGAGGGACACUGAGACCUGGCCCUCCCUUGCUCUCCACCGUGUGAGGACACAAUGAGAUGGUGGCCACCUACAAGCCAGGAACUGAACCCUACGGGGCCUUGACACUGGCCGUUCCAGCCUCCAGAAUGGCUAGGAAUAAAUGUCUGCUCUUUAAGUCACUGGGCGGUGGAGCUUUGUUAUGGCAGCACCAGGGGCUGGUUGAGAGCCUUUGCAUGGCUCUUGUUCCACCUGGAAUGAGAUUUCUAACUCUUGGCUACCUCACCCCCUUACCUCAUUGUUUCAUGUUGCAACCACCCACCCACUCCCCAUGUCUCUGGCAUUCUCAUUUAUUUUUUCUUUGAUUUCAUAGAACACAUCACAAAGCCAUUUGCUCAUGCAUGAUGUUUAUUGUCUAUUUUCUAUCUCCCUGCUAGAGGGUAAGAUGCUCAAGAACACUGCUCUGUCUGCCUCCCUGGACCCAGAAAAUGCUUGGCGUGUGGUAGAACUUAGAUAUAUUUGUGUUGAAUAAAUUAAUUGAAGGGG